This is a transfer RNA of Zancudomyces culisetae, 72 nucleotides long. It matches the Rfam family "tRNA". From Rfam's summary of the family: Transfer RNA (tRNA) molecules are approximately 80 nucleotides in length. Their secondary structure includes four short double-helical elements and three loops (D, anti-codon, and T loops). NCBI's taxonomy places the organism in Eukaryota, Fungi, Kickxellomycota, Harpellomycetes, Harpellales, Legeriomycetaceae. The record is from Rfam.
GCCAAUAUAGGUUAAAUGGUAAACCGUCCCUCUUCCAAAGGGAAGUAAUGUGUUCAAAUCACAUUAUUGGUA